CGCAAGCCUGACGGAGCAAGACCGCGUGCGGGAUGACGGCCUAAUGGUUGUAAACCACUUUUCUCAGGGAAGAAGAUGACGGUACCUGAGGAAUAAGCCUCGGCUAACUCCGUGCCAGCAGCCGCGGUAAGACGGAGGAGGCAAGCGUUAUCCGGAAUUAUUGGGCGUAAAGCGUCCGUAGGUGGUUAUUCAAGUCUGCUGUCAAAGCGUGGGGCUUAACUCCAUAGAGGCAGUGGAAACUGGAUGACUUGAGUGCGGUAGGGGUCGAGGGAAUUCCCAGUGUAGCGGUGAAAUGCGUAGAUAUUGGGAAGAACACCAGUGGCGAAAGCGCUCGACUGGGCCUGCACUGACACUAAGGGACGAAAGCUAGGGGAGCG
RNAcentral lists this ribosomal RNA (377 nucleotides) under uncultured cyanobacterium. Its description in RNAcentral is "bacterial SSU rRNA". It matches the Rfam family "Bacterial small subunit ribosomal RNA", at positions 376 to 770 of the family's 1533-position model. Lineage: Bacteria; Bacillati; Cyanobacteriota. The record is from RNAcentral.